AAUGCUCAAGACAGGUGAGCUACUUAAGUGCAUAAUCAAGUAGAAUGAGGUGAAAAUAAGAGGAAGUAUUAUCAGUAGAUAUUGCAAGAGCAAAAGAAUAUCUGUGAAAAAAAAAGCCAUAGUAAAAAAUAGAAGUAUUAACCUUAAAGGUCAGUGUUGGAAUAUGAUCAAGUUAGUAUAGAUUCUCCACGAAUCUGUAUAGUCUGGAAAUUUAGAAGCUGUCUUACCACCAAAAACAAAACAAAACAAAAAACUCUAAAGCAAACAAACAAACAAACAAACUUCCUUAGGCCGGUAAGUUGACUGUAAUCAAAGGUUUCCAUGGAGCUUUCAUUAGUUUUUGAAUAGUAUCCUAGGUGAGGGAUAAAUAGGAGCAUUCUAUAUGAAAUAGGGGUUAUUACCAAGCCUGGUGUUAUAUUUUAACCUAGGUCCCUUGUAUUGGACACUAUUCAGGGUUGAUGUUUUGUGUUUUGAGCAGGUAGAUGAGAGAAAGUAGUCAAUUUUGCAUUGUUCAUAUACCUUUUAGUAUAUCAGAAAGUAAGGCAUCUUAGAUAUAAUAUCUUGAUUUGAGCAGUGAAUGACAUGAUAAGAAUAAGAGUAGGUAGGAAAUUUUAAGCUGCUUUAUUGUUCAGCUAGACAACUUACCAUCUAUGUCAGUCCUAUAUUAAGAUUUCAGUGUUGAUCUUUCCUAAUAGCUUUGUACUGAAGUUGAACUGAAAGUAGUGACUUACUUAUCUCUUGUCAGAUGGGGGUGAUGAAGUGGAAAAGAUGGGCCAUGACAUUUGCAGAAACGUGAUCUUAAUCAUAUGGAGCUGGGAGCUCAACUUGAUGAUCCUUGUGGGUCCCUUCCAACUCAGGAUAUGAUUCUAUGAUAUGAUUCUAUGAUACUUUUCUGCUGUUGUCAGCAUUUAUACUGCCUCUGCAACAAUAGACAUACAAAAAAAUGCUGUUUAAUUUGUAUAGUUAAAUUUUCUGUACUCCAUAAAGAUCAACAUAAUACAAUCAGACAAGGCAUAAUUCACCUGAUAUAUUAGCGGAAAUUUACUUAAGUAUUUUGUUUUUGUUUUUAUAUGUCAAUGUAGUCAAAUCUGACUGACCACUCAUUUUCUAAUACUACUGAAAAUAUGCCAUAGAAACUUUAUAAAAUGCUUUUUCCUCUACGGGCUUUAAUAGAUCUGUAUGCAAAAUGCAGUAACAUGCAAGGUUCUCCAAGAGCAGUCUGAAAUAACUAGUUGGUAACUUGGUUACCUGGUGUUCUUCAGUCUGAACUAAGGCAUUUCUCAGACCAUUGUAUUUUUCCUUCUUUGCACAACAGUAUAUUUGCCAUCAAAGUAAAACAAUUUUCAUGAUGCAGUCAAUUGUGUUUCUACUGCACCAAGCACCAAGUUCAAUUUUGGAAAAUAUCAUUUGUAAGGAUGUUAGGUGGCAUGUUUUGACUAUUCUUCAGGAUUUUUGUUUUAUGGAAAAGAUGAUUUGAGAAUACCUUUAAAAUUUAAAAUUGACUAAUGAAGGAAACACAUACAAGAGCUGUCUCUGGGCCAGAUGCUGUAGAUGGUGAGACUGUAAAGUACUUAUAUGUGUUUUGUCCUGAAACAGUGUUAUUACAGGUAGUGUGUCUGUUGAACAAACAGAGUCCAAUGAUUUUUAUAUCUGAUAUUCUUAAUGUGAAAGGGCUAUCUGGAAACUGGAUAGAAAUUGUACAUGUUAAGUUAUCCUGCUACAUAUUUUUUCUCGAGCCAUUAUGUAAUAUUGAUAUGAUCAAUGAAUACAGGGGAUUCCAGUCACAUACCUCUUCAGGUACUACUGUUGAAAUAAUUCCAUGACUGUAUGUACAUACCUUGUAGGCAACCAGUUGUAACAGAAAGACAAGCACAAAUUAGCAUGAAAUUUAUCAAUAAAAAUACUGGUCAAUGAUU
Gallus gallus (chicken) is the source of this 1916-nucleotide long non-coding RNA. NCBI's taxonomy places the organism in Eukaryota, Metazoa, Chordata, Aves, Galliformes, Phasianidae. The record is from Ensembl.